Molecule: ribosomal RNA, 504 nt
Filed under: uncultured bacterium
Lineage: Bacteria
Description: partial 16S ribosomal RNA
Rfam family: Bacterial small subunit ribosomal RNA
Source: RNAcentral
AUUGAACGCUGGCGGCAGGCCUAACACAUGCAAGUCGAACGGUAGCACAGAGAGCUUGCUCUCGGGUGACGAGUGGCGGACGGGUGAGUAACGUCUGGGAAACUGCCCGAUGGAGGGGGAUAACUACUGGAAACGGUAGCUAAUACCGCAUAACGUCGCAAGACCAAAGUGGGGGACCUUCGGGCCUCACACCAUCGGAUGUGCCCAGAUGGGAUUAGCUAGUAGGUGGGGUAAUGGCUCACCUAGGCGACGAUCCCUAGCUGGUCUGAGAGGAUGACCAGCCACACUGGAACUGGGACACGGUCCAGACUCCUACGGGAGGCAGCAGUGGGGAAUAUUGCACAAUGGGCGCAAGCCUGAUGCAGCCAUGCCGCGUGUAUGAAGAAGGCCUUCGGGCUGUAAAGUACUUUCAGCGGGGAGGAAGGCGGUGAAGUUAAUAGCUUCACCGAUUGACGUUACCCGCAGAAGAAGCACCGGCUAACUCCGUGCCAGCCGCCGCGGUAA